AACCCUUUUUGUUAUCAAAACAAAGUUCUACUGCUACUAUUGAAAUUGGUAUAAAGGCAAAACAGAGUGGGAGAUGAACAAUUUUUUGAGAAGAAACGAUGAUGAUGAUGAAAAGGGUUUGCUUUGGAAGCUUCCAGAAGUCAGAUUCAAAGAAUUUGGAAAACUGGGCCCCGCUUUCGGCCUCGGCGCCGGCUGCGGUGUUGGCUUCGGCAUUGGCCUCGUCGGAGGGAUAGGACUGGGACCUGGAAUUCCUGGAUUGCAAAUGGGCAUCGGGUUCGGAGCAGGAUGUGGAAUCGGGUAUGGGUUCGGGUAUGGAGUGGGUAAAGGCGUAGCUCAUGAUGACAAGAGAAGGUACUCUAAUGUUGGCAACCUCUUUCAUUCUCACGCAAACCAUCUUCCUACCCAGGAUGAAAUUGCUAGCGUUAUCGAUGAGCUAGUGAUCAACACAAAGAAGCUAGUCAAAGCAACAUCAAGAGAAAUAGAGAAGUGGAGAAAAUGAGCUGAAGGGAUUAUUGAUGUACAAUCAAAUUAUUAUGACCUCAUAAUCACACUGUCACAGCUAGUCGGUGAGAUUGGCACCCCGGGCUGGAUCCCGCCCCAGGCUAGGAGUGAUUGUGCCACUGCUUGCAUAUUCUCACUACCUACCUUUGGUCGAUGUUUACUGAGGUACUGUUUGGUUUGUGAAAAAUUGGAUGUAGUAGUACUUAUGAGAUUUUUUUUAA
Molecule: RNA transcript, 722 nt
Organism: Mercurialis annua (annual mercury)
Lineage: Eukaryota; Viridiplantae; Streptophyta; Magnoliopsida; Malpighiales; Euphorbiaceae
Exons: 4
Source: RefSeq, a predicted model, not a curated record